AGCGAACGCUGGCGGCAGGCCUAACACAUGCAAGUCGAACGAACUCUUCGGAGUUAGUGGCGGACGGGUGAGUAACACGUGGGAACGUGCCUUUUGGUUCGGAAUAACUCAGGGAAACUUGUGCUAAUACCGAAUGUGCCCUUCGGGGGAAAGAUUUAUCGCCAUUAGAGCGGCCCGCGUCUGAUUAGCUAGUUGGUGAGGUAACGGCUCACCAAGGCGACGAUCAGUAGCUGGUCUGAGAGGAUGACCAGCCACACUGGGACUGAGACACGGCCCAGACUCCUACGGGAGGCAGCAGUGGGGAAUCUUGCGCAAUGGGCGAAAGCCUGACGCAGCCAUGCCGCGUGUAUGAUGAAGGUCUUAGGAUUGUAAAAUUCUUUCACCGGGGACGAUAAUGACGGUACCCGGAGAAGAAGCCCCGGCCAACUUCGUG
Molecule: ribosomal RNA, 433 nt
Filed under: uncultured bacterium
Lineage: Bacteria
Description: partial 16S ribosomal RNA
Rfam family: Bacterial small subunit ribosomal RNA
Source: RNAcentral